UACGUAGGGGGCUAGCGUUGCUCGGAAUCAUUGGGCGUAAAGCGCACGUAGGCGGCUUUGCAAGUCGGAUGUGAAAUCCCUCGGCUCAACCAAGGAAGUGCAUCCGAAACUGCAGAGCUUGAGUACUUAAGAGGAUCGCGGAAUUCCCGGUGUAGAGGUGAAAUUCGUAGAUAUCGGGAGGAACACCAGUGGCGAAGGCGGCGAUCUGGGAAGAUACUGACGCUGAGGUGCGAAAGCGUGGGGAGCAAACAGG
RNAcentral lists this ribosomal RNA (253 nucleotides) under uncultured bacterium. RNAcentral's name for it is "partial 16S ribosomal RNA". It matches the Rfam family "Bacterial small subunit ribosomal RNA", at positions 524 to 776 of the family's 1533-position model. The record is from RNAcentral.